Molecule: non-coding RNA, 90 nt
Filed under: human gut metagenome
Description: TPP riboswitch (THI element)
Rfam family: TPP riboswitch aptamer (THI element)
About the family: Vitamin B(1) in its active form thiamin pyrophosphate (TPP) is an essential coenzyme that is synthesised by coupling of pyrimidine and thiazole moieties in bacteria. The previously detected thiamin-regulatory element, thi box was extended, resulting in a new, highly conserved RNA secondary structure, the THI element, which is widely distributed in eubacteria and also occurs in some archaea.
Source: RNAcentral
AUAUUGGGGAGCUUGUGUACAGGCUGAGAGGGAAUGUGAAAUUCCGACCCAUAGACCUGAUUUGGAUAAUGCCAACGUAGGAAACUUUUA